RNAcentral lists this ribosomal RNA (252 nucleotides) under uncultured bacterium. Its description in RNAcentral is "partial 16S ribosomal RNA". It matches the Rfam family "Bacterial small subunit ribosomal RNA", at positions 524 to 776 of the family's 1533-position model. The record is from RNAcentral.
UACGUAGGGGGCGAGCGUUGUCCGGAGUACUGGGCGUAAAGCGCACGCAGGCGGUCUGUUAAGUUUGGAGUGACAGUUGGUGGCUUAACUGCCAAAGUGCUUCGAAAACUGACAGACUUGAGGGCUUCAGAGGGACACGGAAUUCCGGGUGGAGUGGUGAAAUGCGCAGAUAUCAGGAGGAACACCGAUGGCGAAGGCAGUGGGCUGGGCCGGCACUGACGCUGAGGAGCGAAAGCGUGGGGAGCGAACAGG